ACGCAUUGUGUCCAUACGUAGAGUCAGUCAACUGUGAAUUACAAUCUACCCGGAACAAUGCAGUGCGUCCAUAGAUGUAACACUAACGGCACAUCCACUUUACGCACACGAUACACUGCUGGUAUUUACUGGACAUAUUUGUUUUGACUGGGAUUAUAAUGUGAAUUGUGCGGUCAGAAUGUAAAUCAUCCCUCCCCACACACAGGUAGGAUAGCGAUGGAGAUCCAGAAUGACGUACAUUGAUUACAGGUACCCAGGCAUAGAUACCCAAGGUUGUUGUAACAAACUUUACCAGUGACAGAAUACUGAUACAGAUAUGGAUGGAGAAAUAGACUCAGCGUCCUGACGAUUGUCUGUUGAUCUACCUUUGACGGAGCUAAUAAUCUUCGGAGAAUAUUCAUAGAGAAACGUUCUUUCAAAAGGAUUUUUUUUUUUUAGUAUUUAUCUCUUGCAAAAAAGAACAAUGGAGUUAAUAGGUAAAACAGUUAUAUUUGUAUUAUCACUGUGUGUGAUAAUUGUGACAGGUCGCCAUACUGCUGAUCCUGCGAUAUCUCAGGCAACAGUGACAGACGCUACUGGUAAUUCAGCAGAUGAAAACAGCACCAUCACGUGGGCAACCCUGACCACUACUGUCAACUAUAAGGCAGAUGACCUGUCCUACUCUGAUGGUGGAAUGUCCACUCUGAACAGCAUGGCCAAGGGAUUUGUCAAUGUGUGCUUCCCAGCAGGUUUUCCAUGGGAUGUUGUUGACAAAUUAAUGGAUGGUACACUCAUGGAUGAUGUAUCAAGCAACUGGCAAUCAUAUGCCUCUCAGUUUGCUGGGUACGUUGUGAGUAUAGUGAUAGGGUUCCUGUUCAUCUUCCUAUUCCCACUCAUUGGAUGCUGCUUCUGCUGCUGUCGGUGCUGCGGCUGCUGUGGAGGCAAAAUGAUACAGAAGCGCAAGGACACGGAGUCAUCUUGUCGGCGGAAAGUUUACAUUGUGUCUCUCUUCAUAGUCAUUGUUUUUAUGGCGUCUGGAAUGGUUUGUGUGUACAUUUCUAACGACCAGUUUACAAAGACUGUGGAUACUAUUGACACAAGUGUAGCCAACACUUUGGACGACUUGUUAACAUUUGUCAACGCCACAAUUGAUCAAAUAGAACUCCUAGUGCAAGACAAUUUCAACUUUACAACGGACGUCGUCAAACGGGAUUUAGAUAGUAUAGGGUACCUGUUGGGUGUGCCUCUGCGGAACGCAAUAGGUGUGGACUCUGGUCUGGAUGCCUGUUUUGCCACCACCUAUACACUGGUGGAAUCGGCUAACAAUGCUACAACAGACCUGCUGCAAGUGAACACAUCAAUGGCUGUUUUAAACUCGGCCUUUAGUGAUUUGAGUACAGCUUUGUCAACUUUAAAAACAAGCCUUGAUACUACAUUGGCGAGCUGUGGAGCAAUACAGACUACAUGUAAUGGUAUUGAUACAACUCCUCUCACUACCGAAAUGGAUGCAACAGCUCUGCCUGACAUUUCCUCACAACUCACUAAAGCAACAGAAAUUCAGGACUCCAACCUGACUGCAAAAGUUCUUGAAGGUGAAGAGGGUUACUGGCAAAUUCCUUGGACAGUUCAUAAUGAAACCAAUAACACUAUUGCUUCAAUAAAAGACAAGAUUGAUGAGUUUUCUGACCUGAUCAAUCCUCUUAUUGAUUCCUUAUCCUCCGUGAGAUCUUCUGUUUUGUCAUCUGUUGAUACUGAUGCUUUACUAGAUGAUUUCUCUUCACAAAUGACCACAGCUAAAACAUAUGAUCAGUACAGGUGGUACGGAGGUGUAGGCCUGGCAUGCAUUGUGCUGCUAGUUGUUGUCCUACAACUUCUAGGACUUGUCUUUGCCCUAAUUGGCUAUGAUUCCAAGGUUGAUCCUCGUGAGAGAGGAUGCAUGUCCAACUCUGGAGGAGAAAUGUUCAUGGCGUCUGUUGGAUUUGUUUUUAUCUUUUCCUCACUACUCAUGUUGCUGACCACCCUAACUUACCUUAUUGGGGCACCACUGGAGAGGUUUGUCUGUCAACCAAUCACAGACUCGGAUAUGACAGACUUGGACAGGCUGGUUGAUGAGGUGGCCUUCAAACAGCUGUAUGGAGGUACUGGAUCUGUGCUCGGAAAGAUGCUCUACAGUAAUUCUACCUAUGACAUACCUAUCUCAGGACUACUCAAGGAUUGUCAAGCUAGUAAGACUGUGUACAUGGCCUUAAAGGCAGACACUUAUGUCAACACAUCCCAGAUAGACAACUACAAAACAGAAUUUGAUAUUCAAUCAGAGCUUGAUAAGAUUGACGAUGCUGUCGACUUUUCAAGUAUUGCUAUUCUGACGCCGUCAUUGCUAUCGAACCUGGAGGACACAAAGUCUGCCGUGAAUGUUGAUUUUGCUUCCUAUGCAGCAGAGCUGAACAAAGAUCUUACAUCAACUAAUUUGACAGAAUUUGCUGAUAGCUUGAGAACAUUGGCUACUGCUGCUGGUGCUGCUGGAGAAACAUCAACACAAAAUGAUUUGAAUACUCAUGCUGCAACUCUGGAUACCAUUCAGAGUACAGAGGUGGCUGCUCUUAAUGAGGCAGUGGCUAAUCUUACAAGAGACUUAGAUAACAUGGCGAAAACUGUCAAUGGCACAUCGGCCAAAGUAGACAAAGUGAUUGAAUGUCUCAACCAGACUGAGCUGUAUAUACAUGCCAACACUUCAGCCCUCCUCGGAACGCUGGCCACAAAUUUUGCAGAUAGAAUAUUUGCUUCAAUAGAUUCCUUUAUCAGCAAACUCUUUACUGCUCUGAAGACUGAAUUGGGAAAGUGUGACCCAAUCUGGAAUCUAUACAACAACUUUUUUGUUAUCACCCUGUGUGGAUACACUGUAGACACUCUGAAUGGAUUUUGGUUUGGCUUGGGAUGGUGUCUAUUCUUCUUCAUACCUAGUAUCAUCUUCGCUGUCAAACUCGCUAAACACUUCCGUCGGAUGAAAGAAGUGGAAACUGUAGAUGAACAUUUUGAAGAUCCUAAUUAUGAAAAACGUCCAGUGCCUGAGCAGAAACGUGAAACCGCAAUCACAGAUGGCAAUACUACUGUUUAUGUUGUGCCCGAUUCUUCAACAAACCCACCUAUAGAAAUCCCAUCAAAUAACGACAAUUUAUAAAAUUCAAAACUAGAUAGCCCUCCCCCUGGUUCAGGUCUUACACCAGUACCAACCCUGGAAGAAUUGUACCCUAAAAUUGAUGGUACUUUCCCUAAACCAACUUCUUCCCUAGAGGCAAAUUCAGAUCAAACAGCAAAUACACCUACACAACCGGGAUCUUCCCAGGACAAAUGGCGCCCACCCUCUGCACUUAGUAACAAAUCUGUCAAGGACAUAACACGCCCAUCCACUGCACUAAGUAACACAUCUGACAAGAACAAGUCGCGUCCUGUCUCUGCACUAAUUAACACAUCUGACAAGAACAAGUCGCGUCCUGCCUCUGCAACUAGUAAAAAGUCAAUUGACCAUAGGCCUGUGUUCAAAGGCAACAAGGUCAGCCACGCCGACGAUCCCGAAAAGAAUGGUCAAACCUUUCCGACAUACGCAGAGGC
Molecule: unclassified non-coding RNA, 3588 nt
Filed under: Mizuhopecten yessoensis (Yesso scallop)
Lineage: Eukaryota; Metazoa; Mollusca; Bivalvia; Pectinida; Pectinidae
Description: prominin-1-A-like, transcript variant X5
Source: RNAcentral